RNAcentral lists this ribosomal RNA (233 nucleotides) under uncultured bacterium. RNAcentral describes it as "partial 16S ribosomal RNA". It matches the Rfam family "Bacterial small subunit ribosomal RNA", at positions 254 to 504 of the family's 1533-position model. The record is from RNAcentral.
GGGGUAAAAGCCUACCAAGGCCACGAUCAGUAGCCGACCUGAGAGGGUGAUCGGCCACAUUGGAACUGAGACACGGUCCAAACUCCUACGGGAGGCAGCAGUGGGGAAUAUUGCACAAUGGGGGAAACCCUGAUGCAGCGACGCCGCGUGGAGGAAGAAGGUCUUCGGAUUGUAAACUCCUGUCCCAGGGGACGAUAAUGACGGUACCCUGGGAGGAAGCACCGGCUAACUAC